RNA transcript from Crotalus tigris (Tiger rattlesnake), 1710 nucleotides. It is a transcript of the gene named nudix hydrolase 18, with no coding region annotated. The record is from RefSeq and is a predicted model, not a curated record. Lineage: Eukaryota; Metazoa; Chordata; Lepidosauria; Squamata; Viperidae. The transcript has 4 exons.
GGGGCUUCCGCGCGGGCGACGCAACGGGCGGCGGGAUGGCGGCCGAGGAGCUGCGGGCGCUGCUCGGCGGGAAAGGCUGGCCGGUGCCGGAGGCGGAAGCCUGCGGCCCCGGCGCCCCCGAGCCGGCGCGCCUGCGGGGCAACGUCUGCUACGUGGUGCUGGCGGUGCUGCUCAACGAGAAGAACGAGGUGCUGGUGAUGCAGGAGGCCAAGCGCGAGUGCUACGGGAGCUGGUACCUGCCGGCCGGCCGGAUGGAGCCCCGCGAGACCGUGGUGGAGGCCGUGCGGCGGGAGGUGCAGGAGGAGACGGGGCUGCAGUGCCGGCCGCUCACGCUGCUGGCGGUGGAGGAGCGCGGCCCCGCCUGGAUCCGCUUCGUCUUCCUCGCCCGGCCCACCGGCGGGACGCUGAAGAGCCUGCAGCAGGCGGACGCGGAGUCCCUGCAGGCGCUGUGGUGGGACCGGGAGAGCCCCGCCCUGCCGCUCCGUUCGCGGGACAUCCUGCCCUUAAUGGACCUGGCAUUGCAGUACCGCGCCAGCCCCCGCCACCCCCCCGUCCUGCCGCUGGAGCUGCCCUGCGCCUCGGUUUGCCAGAGGCUCCUGCUCGUCUUCACCGGCAGCGACGACUCCUUGUGGGUGCUGCUGGAAACGACUGGGGCGCCGCAUCUGCCCGUGGCGAUCAGCAGCCUGUCUCCCUCGGAGCCGGGCAAGAGGCUUCGGGCGGCCGUCCAGCCGCUGCUCCAGAAAUGCACGGCCCGGCCGGAGGCGGCCGUGCACCUCCAGGGCCUACUUGGCUUGCAGCACCUUGGCAAGGAUCCGGGGCAAAGCGACGGCAUCUGCUUCAACGUGGUGGCCACGGUCGGAAGCGACGGCUCGCAGCAGCAGGAGCCGGCCCCACCGGCGUUGCAGGAGCCGGCUUUCACCUGGUGGGAAGUGGAAGACGCAGCUCUUAAGAGCCAGGUGCUCCAAAGGCUUCGCACAUGUUCUUUUCUCCCCAUUUACAGCUAACUCCUCCCAGCCGAGGGCUGCGCCAGAAAUGGAAGCCGCCCCCCCCCCCCCAGGCCACCGGACGCAGAGCAGGUCUGGGACACUCUUUUCCAAAUGAUGCUAUCCUACGCACCCCUGCUGAAAGCAAGGAAGAAUGUAAGAUCGGAAAAGGUUCCCAGACAUUCAUUUAUUAAAGCACAAGCCGACUUUCCUCCGGGGGCUCAAACCGAUGUUGCCACAGGCUCUGCUCAGCAAGUAUGGCAAAGGCAGGUUUGUUCCAUCUUUAUUUUGGGCCAAAGAUCAGCUCACCGCAGAGACCUAGGCAAUAUGCCAAGAUAGAACAGCACCUCCAGACCUACUUCCUCAAACUAUUUAUAGACUAGGAGAACUUUGCAACAGUCCUAGGAAUGAGAUGGUAGGAGAGGCUUCCAUUAUCUCACCACAGAAAGCUCUGGGUACAAAAGAAAACCAGGGAUUAAGUAGCAUGGCAGGAUUCAUCUUUAGACCGAUGGAACAUAUUGCAAAAAUUAAGUCCUGGUACAGAACGUUCAGCUGAGUACAUACGCCAAAAAAAGAGGGCGAGAAGAGGGUCACUUAGCUUAGUGGUUCUCAACCUGUGGGUCGGGACCCCAUUUGGGGUCGAACGACCAUUUCAUGGGGGUCGCCAAACAACGCAGUCUGCCAUUUUUUUCCCCUUUUCCUUAGCUGUGCUACUCCCUUUUAUUCU